Molecule: long non-coding RNA, 1780 nt
Organism: Cercocebus atys (sooty mangabey)
Lineage: Eukaryota; Metazoa; Chordata; Mammalia; Primates; Cercopithecidae
Exons: 2
Source: RefSeq, a predicted model, not a curated record
AAACUGAGGCUCAAAGAGCUACAGCGAGACGGAGGAGGAGGUGGCCCCGGCUCUGAUGCAGUUGGCUGGUUCGAUGGCAGACUCCCCCGUGCCGUGACUUGCAGACCAGAUCCGGAAGUCCUGGAGUAGAGUGGGUGGGUCUGCCAGGGCAUGGCCAGGCUGUCUGUCUCUGGAGACUCCCCCAAGGAGAGUUUCUUGACCUUGAGGAUGAUAAUGCAGGGUAGGCUCUUGAGGGCUGUGCAGGGACUCCCUGGAGAGCCCUGGGAAAAGCAGGUCCCUGCCUGCUGGGGCCUGCCUCUGCUGCAGGGGCCAGCGCAGGGGUCAGGUCUCCACACAUUUCAUGUCCAGGCCAUUUCCCCACUCCAGCGCCAAGGCUGGGCACUCCCCAGUCAGUGGCACAGCUGCUGCUGUGGGGUCUCUUGCCCUCCAAAGGUUGGUUUCAAUUCCAAGUGUCACCGCUGGAAACACCGGCCACCCUGGGACAUGUGGUCUUGCCAGGCCUUCUGCAGGGCUCUGUUUCUUAGGUCCCAAUCGUCUACAGGGAGCACUGGUCUGAGAUCUUCCAAGAUGCUGGGCAGGAGCAAGCCUGCCAUGCUCAUUCCCAAAGGACUCCACAUCUAGAUAAAUGAAGACCUGGAAGGCUCUUUGGCUGCACUCUAGCAAAACAGCUUACGUCACCCUGCCUAAAGAGACAGUCAGGAAAUCCCCUUGUUCCUGGGCGAGGAGAAGCUGGCCCACAGGGAGUGACGGCAUUGAGCAGAUACUGCCCUUGGCUCCCUCAUGGAUGGGGCGUGGUCUGCUGACCUUGACAGCGAUCAGGGCAGGGGGCUUGGAGGGAAGGGGUUAGCUGGGGAAGGUGAGGGAGAGGACUGGAGUUAGGACAGGGUGCAGCGACCACAUCCUGUGAUGAGGAGGCAUCUGUGACCUGUGUGAUCUGCCAGGCAAGCAACACAAGUCAUUGUGCUGCUACAUGCCUGCUACUGAGAUAGGAACAAAGAGAGGCUGGUCCUGCCUCUCGGUGCUCUCCGUUGGACACAUCUGCUGGGCAGUACUGGCUUUUACCAUAGGGCGGAGAAGAGAGGUCAGCCUUUGGCGGAGAAGAGAGGUCAGCCUUGACCACAGCAUGAAGACAACAGGAAGCGUAUGAGCAGCUCUUGGUGGUGGAGACCUCAGGAGGGAGGAGUCGGCUUUUCAUAUUUACCAAGGACUCAUUCUCCCCUCCCUGUCAUUGGGGCAUGAAGUAGUUCCAUUGUAAACUCGUCUGGUGGUAGAGUCAGAGGCUGGAGCUCAGAGCCUUGGGAGCCUCCUGCCGCUGCCUUGCUGUGUGUCUCCGGGCAGGUUGCUUCCCCUCUCUGAGCUCACCAGCAACCAGACUCAGAUAGUCUAGAGGACGGAUGAGUGCUCCCCUGGUUCUUCCAGGGGACACUGGGGGGACAUGGGCAGCCCCGGAAGGAAACUUGUUCCUUGAGCUUUGAUACAUAUUCUGAGAUCUGAACCUGCAGGUGGAGGCCAAGGAAAAAACCUAGUGAGCCCGGGGUGGGGUGUGCAAUGGCGUCCAAGGAUGUGGAGCAAGAAGACAAGGCAUAGACCAGGCCUGAGCCGGGGCCUCAAGUUCCCUUAGCCCUACCUCAAGGGGGGCUGAACUGCUGCCUAGUGACUGGGGCUGGAAACUGGCAUCGAGCCUAUGCCAUCCAUUCGUCAUGGUUUGCUGUAAAUAGAAUCAUAUUGUUCACUAUUUAGUACACUGUAAAUAAAAUGGCAGUAAUAUUUUCAUUAUUAA